Molecule: ribosomal RNA, 253 nt
Filed under: uncultured bacterium
Lineage: Bacteria
Description: partial 16S ribosomal RNA
Rfam family: Bacterial small subunit ribosomal RNA
Source: RNAcentral
UACGUAGGGGGCUAGCGUUGUCCGGAUUUAUUGGGCGUAAAGAGCGUGUAGGCGGCCAGGUAGGUCUGCUGUGAAAACUCGAGGCUCAACCUCGAGACGUCGGCGGAAACCAUCUGGCUAGAGUCCGGAAGAGGAGAGUGGAAUUCCUGGUGUGGCGGUGAAAUGCGCAGAUAUCAGGAAGAACACCCGUGGCGAAGGCGGCUCUCUGGGACGGUACUGACGCUGAGACGCGAAAGCGUGGGGAGCGAACAGG